UAGGGAAUCUUCCGCAAUGGGCGAAAGCCUGACGGAGCAACGCCGCGUGAGUGAUGAAGGUCUUCGGAUCGUAAAACUCUGUUAUUAGGGAAGAACAAAUGUGUAAGUAACUAUGCACGUCUUGACGGUACCUAAUCAGAAAGCCACGGCUAACUACGUGCCAGCAGCCGCGGUAAUACGUAGGUGGCAAGCGUUAUCCGGAAUUAUUGGGCGUAAAGCGCGCGUAGGCGGUUUUUUAAGUCUGAUGUGAAAGCCCACGGCUCAAACGUGGAGGGUCAUUGGAAACGGGAAAACUUGAGUGCAGAAGAGGAAAGUGGAAUUCCAUGUGUAGCGGUGAAAUGCGCAGAGAUAUGGAGGAACACCAGUGGCGAAGGCGACUUUCUGGUCUGUAACUGACGCUGAUGUGCGAAAGCGUGGGGAUCAAACAGG
This 429-nucleotide ribosomal RNA is filed under the name Actinomycetes bacterium. RNAcentral describes it as "Actinobacteria bacterium partial 16S ribosomal RNA". It matches the Rfam family "Bacterial small subunit ribosomal RNA", at positions 355 to 776 of the family's 1533-position model. Lineage: Bacteria; Bacillati; Actinomycetota; Actinomycetes. The record is from RNAcentral.